This 519-nucleotide ribosomal RNA is filed under the name uncultured Glomus. RNAcentral's name for it is "SSU rRNA". It matches the Rfam family "Eukaryotic small subunit ribosomal RNA", at positions 569 to 1090 of the family's 1831-position model. The record is from RNAcentral. Lineage: Eukaryota; Fungi; Glomeromycota; Glomeromycetes; Glomerales; Glomeraceae.
AGCAGCCGCGGUAAUUCCAGCUCCAAUAGCGUAUAUUAAAGUUGUUGCAGUUAAAAAGCUCGUAGUUGAAUUUCGGGAUCAAUUUGCUGGUCGUGCCUUCGGUACGCACUGGUAUUAUUGGUUUCUCCUUUCUGAUGAAUCGCGAUGUCAUUAAUUUGGUGUCGUGGGGAAUCAGGACCGUUACUUUGAAAAAAUUAGAGUGUUUAAAGCAGGCUCACGCUUGAAUACAUUAGCAUGGAAUAAUGAAAUAGGACGUUUGAUUCUAUUUUGUUGGUUUCUAGGAUCGACGUAAUGAUUAAUAGGGAUAGUUGGGGGCAUUAGUAUUCAAUUGUCAGAGGUGAAAUUCUUGGAUUUAUUGAAGACUAACUACUGCGAAAGCAUUUGCCAAGGAUGUUUUCAUUAAUCAAGAACGAAAGUUAGGGGAUCGAAGACGAUCAGAUACCGUCGUAGUCUUAACCAUAAACUAUGCCGACUAGGGAUCGGAUGAUGUUAAUUUUUAAUGACUCAUUCGGCGUCCCG